AGUCUGCUCCCUGUUACACUGGGCGGUGUUGUUUCGACGUGAGAGCAUCGGAGCGAAGCGAAAUCCGGCUGAAAUUAGACUCAACUUUCUAUCGAAUGCAGAGUCUACGCCACUAUCAAACACACGGGCAGAGAUGGAAGAGUUUCUGCAGUAUACCAAGUCCAUUCUGAUGAAUGGAAAUGACCUGCCUAGAGUUCAUGCUGUACUUGGUGACAACAAAUGUGAUCUGGAUUCUGCUGUUUCAACUUUAGCCUAUGCUUAUUUCCUUUAUAAGACCCAAUCAGCUGAUGAUCUUUAUGUGCCUGUUCUGAAUAUACA
Hemiscyllium ocellatum (epaulette shark) is the source of this 318-nucleotide long non-coding RNA. RefSeq lists it as uncharacterized. NCBI's taxonomy places the organism in Eukaryota, Metazoa, Chordata, Chondrichthyes, Orectolobiformes, Hemiscylliidae. The transcript has 3 exons. The record is from RefSeq and is a predicted model, not a curated record.